Molecule: RNA transcript, 1919 nt
Organism: Hibiscus syriacus
Lineage: Eukaryota; Viridiplantae; Streptophyta; Magnoliopsida; Malvales; Malvaceae
Exons: 5
Source: RefSeq, a predicted model, not a curated record
UAAGCUCAAUUUCAUUGUUUACUUUACUUCGUCUUUAAUUUCCUUCUCUUCGCCGCCCAAUUAUCGCCGGGAAACUAAGUUCCGGAAACGAGGAGGAGCUAGCCACUCAUGAUCUUCGCGUGAAUUCCCAUGACAUUAUGUCCUCGUUCCGUUGCUUAAUUCGGGAAGUUCAACUGCAUCUGAAAAAGGAAAAAAGAAGCGACUCUAAUUAGCCGAGUUUUGAAGUUAUUCCAUGCAUUGUCUGCAAAUUAGAUGAAAAUAAUAGUAUAUUAUAAUCAACGUUAAGAGUCUCGUGUCGUGUCUUGAUUAAACCGUAUUAAUUUUUCAUUUUUGACAAAGAUGUGAAUUUCUGUGUUAAUUGCGUUCGCUGAUCUCAUCGAAAAACAAAAGAAUCAACGAGAGUUUGAAGAGCGGCCGUGGUAACGGUGGAAGCGGCUUUUUUGAAGGCUGAGAAACAUGCCUUUUCCGAUGAAGAUCCAACCGAUCGAUUUCAAAACGCUAGAAGAGGCAGCGGCACCGCGGUCGGAGGCGGUAAAGCAGCCGGCCGUGAAAUCACGGUUCAAGCGUCUGUUUGAGCGGCCGUUCCCUAGCGUUCUAAGAAAUUACUCGACAGAGAAGAUCGGUGCCGUCGCAGUCAUCGCCGAUGAGCUUCCUUUCAGCAAAGAAUGCUCUGCUGAGUUCGAGCCGAGCUCCGUUUGCUUGGCGAAAAUGGUUCAGAAUUUCAUUGAAGAACAUAACGAGAAACAACAAUCUUGUGCGGUUAGGUGUAGUGGCCGUAACCGCUGUAACUGCUUCAGCAAUCGUAGCUGCAGCGACAGCUCCGAUGACGAAAUGGACGGUUUCUUUGGUGACUCCAAUCUUAAUUUUUCCGCUGAAGCGUCUGAAAUCCUAAAGAGUUUGGUUUCUCCUAUGACUGUGAAUGAAAAAAAGGUAUUGGCGGAUACAGCGAAGAUCAUGGAAAAGAACAAGAACUGUAAGAGCAAAGAUGAAGUUUGCAGGAAAAUUGUUACUGAUGGAUUAUUGACCCUUGGAUACGAUGCUUCUAUCUGCAAAUCUUUCUGGGGAAAAUCUCCCUCUUUUCCCGCCGCAGGGGAGUAUGAAUACAUAGAUGUGCUAAUUGAGGGUGAACGUUUAUUGAUCGACAUGGAUUUCAGAUCAGAAUUCGAACUCGCCAGAACAACGAAGACUUACAAGUCAAUACUCCAAACGCUUCCCCACAUCUUUGUCGGCAAAGCCAAUCGUCUCCAGAAGAUAAUUGCUAUUGUUUCUGAGGCAGUAAAGCAAUGCCUGAAGAAAAAAGGAAUGCAUAUUCCUCCAUGGCGAAAAGCUGAGUAUAUCAAGGCCAAAUGGCUUUCUCAUUACAAUCGAAUCACACCUUCACCCACAUCUGUAACUGGAACGCUCAUAGAAUUCGGGCUUGAUUCCAAAGCUAAAGACAAAGGCCAAUCAUUGUUUGAAGUGACUCCCGAGGAUAAAAACUCAGUUGGAGAUGCUGAGUUGGGAGAACCCAUAUUUGCUUUGUCUGAGAGCUUUGAAGAAGAUGAAGGGAAGGGUAAAAACACGAAGAACGAAGAAUGGAAGAUUGGGGUUAAGAUGGUGACUGGUUUAGCUUCAGCCAUUGAAGAUGAAAUGAAACAAUAAAUUUUUGACUCUUUCUUUUUCACUUUUGGGUUAUUGGAAAAUCAAAUACAUAGUGGGAUCUUUGAAUUCAUGGAAUCAAAGCAAGAGACAAAAAACAAAGGACUACAUUUUAUAUACCAUGCUCUUGCAGUCUCAGAGCUUUGUGAGGUUAGUCCCGACUCUUGAGCUAUUUUUAAUUGACUGAUUCUGUGAUCUAUAGCAUCCUUUAGUGGAGUAUUUUAUUGAUGGCAUUAAAAGAUUUUGCAGUUAUUUUUAUAUACAAAAAUAUAUGUUUAAAC